Molecule: ribosomal RNA, 151 nt
Filed under: uncultured bacterium
Lineage: Bacteria
Description: partial 16S ribosomal RNA
Rfam family: Bacterial small subunit ribosomal RNA
Source: RNAcentral
GAGGAAUAUUGGUCAAUGGGCGCAGGCCUGAACCAGCCAAGUAGCGUGAAGGAUGACUGCCCUAUGGGUUGUAAACUUCUUUUAUAUGGGAAUAAAGUUUUCCACGUGUGGAAUUUUGUAUGUACCAUAUGAAUAAGGAUCGGCUAACUCC